RNAcentral lists this non-coding RNA (20 nucleotides) under Arabidopsis thaliana (thale cress). The record is from RNAcentral. RNAcentral also lists the same sequence under 2 other names. Lineage: Eukaryota; Viridiplantae; Streptophyta; Magnoliopsida; Brassicales; Brassicaceae.
GAUCUUGGUGGUAGUAGCAA